This 73-nucleotide transfer RNA is filed under the name Stegodyphus mimosarum. It matches the Rfam family "tRNA". From Rfam's summary of the family: Transfer RNA (tRNA) molecules are approximately 80 nucleotides in length. Lineage: Eukaryota; Metazoa; Arthropoda; Arachnida; Araneae; Eresidae. The record is from Rfam by way of RNAcentral.
GCCUUUGUGGUGUAAUGGUGAAAACACUUGGCAUGUAUUCGAGAGGUCCGAGGUUCAAGUCCCGGCAAGGGCA